This 253-nucleotide ribosomal RNA is filed under the name uncultured bacterium. RNAcentral's name for it is "partial 16S ribosomal RNA". It matches the Rfam family "Bacterial small subunit ribosomal RNA", at positions 524 to 776 of the family's 1533-position model. The record is from RNAcentral.
GACUAACCGUCCUAACGUUGUUCGGAAUCACUGGGCUUAAAGGGCGCGUAGGCGGCCUUGCAAGUCGGGGGUGAAAUCCCACGGCCUAACCGUGGAAGUGCCUCCGAUACUGCAAGGCUCGAGGGAGGUAGGGGCAGCUGGAACUUCCGGUGGAGCGGUGAAAUGCGUUGAUAUCGGAAGGAACGCCGGUGGCGAAAGCGAGCUGCUGGACCUCUGCUGACGCUGAGGCGCGAAAGCCAGGGGAGCAAACGGG